Molecule: non-coding RNA, 23 nt
Filed under: Arabidopsis thaliana (thale cress)
Lineage: Eukaryota; Viridiplantae; Streptophyta; Magnoliopsida; Brassicales; Brassicaceae
Source: RNAcentral
UAAGUUAUGCCACAUUCCUAAUA